This 377-nucleotide ribosomal RNA is filed under the name uncultured eukaryote. RNAcentral describes it as "partial 18S ribosomal RNA". It matches the Rfam family "Eukaryotic small subunit ribosomal RNA", at positions 592 to 976 of the family's 1831-position model. The record is from RNAcentral.
CAAUAGCGUAUAUUUAAGUUGCUGCAGUUAAAAAGCUCGUAGUUGGAUUUCGGGUGGGCAUGGCCGGUCCGCCGUUUCGGUGUGCACUUGCUACGCCCACCUUGCUGCCGGGGACGUGCUCUUGAGUUCACGCUCGGGACACGGAGUCGGCGAGGUUACUUUGAGUAAAUUAGAGUGUUCAAAGCAGGCCUACGCUCUGAAUACAUUAGCAUGGAAUAACACGAUAGGACUCUGGCCUAUCUUGUUGGUCUGUAGGACCGGAGUAAUGAUUAAGAGGGACAGUCGGGGGCAUUCGUAUUUCAUUGUCAGAGGUGAAAUUCUUGGAUUUAUGAAAGACGAACUACUGCGAAAGCAUUUGCCAAGGAUGUUUUCAUUAA